RNAcentral lists this ribosomal RNA (467 nucleotides) under uncultured bacterium. RNAcentral's name for it is "partial 16S ribosomal RNA". It matches the Rfam family "Bacterial small subunit ribosomal RNA", at positions 29 to 507 of the family's 1533-position model. The record is from RNAcentral.
ACGAACGCUGGCGGCGUGCUUAACACAUGCAAGUCGCACGGAAAGGCCCUGCUUUUGUGGGGUGCUCGAGUGGCGAACGGGUGAGUAACACGUGAGUAACCUGCCCUUGACUUUGGGAUAACUUCAGGAAACUGGGGCUAAUACCGGAUAGGAGCUCCUGCUGCAUGGUGGGGGUUGGAAAGUUUCGGCGGUUGGGGAUGGACUCGCGGCUUAUCAGCUUGUUGGUGGGGUAGUGGCUUACCAAGGCUUUGACGGGUAGCCGGCCUGAGAGGGUGACCGGCCACAUUGGGACUGAGAUACGGCUCAGACUCCUACGGGAGGCAGCAGUGGGGAAUAUUGCACAAUGGGCGGAAGCCUGAUGCAGCAACGCCGCGUGCGGGAUGACGGCCUUCGGGUUGUAAACCGCUUUCGCCUGUGACGAAGCGUGAGUGACGGUAAUGGGUAAAGAAGCACCGGCUAACUACGUG